RNAcentral lists this transfer RNA (73 nucleotides) under Neotoma lepida (desert woodrat). It matches the Rfam family "tRNA". Rfam says of the family: Transfer RNA (tRNA) molecules are approximately 80 nucleotides in length. Their secondary structure includes four short double-helical elements and three loops (D, anti-codon, and T loops). Further hydrogen bonds mediate the characteristic L-shaped molecular structure. tRNAs have two regions of fundamental functional importance: the anti-codon, which is responsible for specific mRNA codon recognition, and the 3' end, to which the tRNAs corresponding amino acid is attached (by aminoacyl-tRNA synthetases). tRNAs cope with the degeneracy of the genetic code in two manners: having more than one tRNA (with a specific anti-codon) for a particular amino acid; and 'wobble' base-pairing, i.e. permitting non-standard base-pairing at the 3rd anti-codon position. Lineage: Eukaryota; Metazoa; Chordata; Mammalia; Rodentia; Cricetidae. The record is from Rfam by way of RNAcentral.
GGAGAUGUAGCUCAGCUGGCAGAGCACGAGCCUAGCAUGCUCGAGGCCCUGAUCUCAAUCCCUGACAUCUCAU